UACGAAGGGGGCUAGCGUUGCUCGGAAUCACUGGGCGUCAAGGGUGCGUAGGCGGAUUGCUAAGUCAGGGGUGAAAUCCUGGAGCUCAACUCCAGAACUGCCCUUGAUACUGGCGGUCUCGAGUCCGGGAGAGGUGAGUGGAACUGCGAGUGUAGAGGUGAAAUUCGUAGAUAUUCGCAAGAACACCAGUGGCGAAGGCGGCUCACUGGCCCGGUACUGACGCUGAGGUGCGAAAGCGUGGGGAGCAAACGGG
Molecule: ribosomal RNA, 253 nt
Filed under: uncultured bacterium
Lineage: Bacteria
Description: partial 16S ribosomal RNA
Rfam family: Bacterial small subunit ribosomal RNA
Source: RNAcentral